UACGGAGGGUGCAAGCGUUGUCCGGAUUUAUUGGGUUUAAAGGGUGCGUAGGCGGGCUAUUAAGUCAGUGGUGAAAUACUACGGCUCAACUGUAGAAUUGCCAUUGAAACUGAUAGUCUUGAAUACAUGUGAGGUGGUUGGAAUAAGUGGUGUAGCGGUGAAAUGCUUAGAUAUCACUUAGAACGCCGAUUGCGAAGGCAGAUCACUAAUAUGUUAUUGACGCUGAGGCACGAAAGCGUGGGGAGCGAACAGG
This 253-nucleotide ribosomal RNA is filed under the name uncultured bacterium. RNAcentral's name for it is "partial 16S ribosomal RNA". It matches the Rfam family "Bacterial small subunit ribosomal RNA", at positions 524 to 776 of the family's 1533-position model. The record is from RNAcentral.